Molecule: transfer RNA, 74 nt
Filed under: Ipomoea nil (Japanese morning glory)
Lineage: Eukaryota; Viridiplantae; Streptophyta; Magnoliopsida; Solanales; Convolvulaceae
Rfam family: tRNA
About the family: Transfer RNA (tRNA) molecules are approximately 80 nucleotides in length.
Source: Rfam by way of RNAcentral
GGUCCUGUAGCUCAGUUGGUUUGAGUGUUGGUCUUAUGAGCUGAAGGUCGCGGUUUUGAGCCUUGUCGGGAUUA